UACGUAGGGAGCAAGCGUUGUCCGGAAUCACUGGGCUUAAAGGGCGCGUAGGCGGCUGCUCAAGUCCGGGGUGAAAUCUUUCAGCUCAACUGGAAAAUAGCCUCCGAUACUGGGUAGCUCGAGGGAGAUAGGGGCAUGCGGAACUUCCGGUGGAGCGGUGAAAUGCGUAGAUAUCGGAAGGAACGCCGGUGGCGAAAGCGGCGUGCUGGAUCGCUUCUGACGCUGAUGCGCGAAAGCCAGGGGAGCAAACGGG
RNAcentral lists this ribosomal RNA (253 nucleotides) under uncultured bacterium. Its description in RNAcentral is "partial 16S ribosomal RNA". It matches the Rfam family "Bacterial small subunit ribosomal RNA", at positions 524 to 776 of the family's 1533-position model. The record is from RNAcentral.